GACACUGAGUGAGAGAAUGAGAUCAGUCCAUGCCUGAAGACUCUGACAGCAGGGAGUUUCCCUCUGAGAUAGCUGGAGACAGCAGUGUAUUCUAUGGAGACCAGGACUCUGCUCCAGUAAAACACUCAUCCUCCCUUCGCUGCUCAACCAAUCCUGUUGUGGAAGCAGAUGAGCGCCAGCGAAUCAAGUCCCUCCCCACACCUGUGAAAUUGUUCCCAGAGGAUGACCCAGUCCUCAGUCCUGGUCUGCCUCCCCCUCCCCUUGACCUGCCUGA
This is a long non-coding RNA of Alosa alosa (allis shad), 274 nucleotides long. RefSeq lists it as uncharacterized. The transcript is spliced from 3 exons. The record is from RefSeq and is a predicted model, not a curated record. NCBI's taxonomy places the organism in Eukaryota, Metazoa, Chordata, Actinopteri, Clupeiformes, Clupeidae.